This 158-nucleotide ribosomal RNA is filed under the name Xylariales sp. Its description in RNAcentral is "5.8S ribosomal RNA". It matches the Rfam family "5.8S ribosomal RNA". From Rfam's summary of the family: 5.8S ribosomal RNA (5.8S rRNA) is a component of the large subunit of the eukaryotic ribosome. It is transcribed by RNA polymerase I as part of the 45S precursor that also contains 18S and 28S rRNA. The record is from RNAcentral. Lineage: Eukaryota; Fungi; Ascomycota; Sordariomycetes; Xylariales.
AAACUUUCAACAACGGAUCUCUUGGUUCUGGCAUCGAUGAAGAACGCAGCGAAAUGCGAUAAGUAGUGUGAAUUGCAGAAUUCAGUGAAUCAUCGAAUCUUUGAACGCACAUUGCGCCCGCCAGUAUUCUGGCGGGCAUGCCUGUUCGAGCGUCAUUU